UACAGAGGUCCCGAGCGUUGUUCGGAUUUACUGGGCGUAAAGCGUGUUCAGGCGGUCUAGCAAGUCGGGCAUGAAAUCUCUCGGCUCAACCGGGAGGGGUUGUCCGAUACUGCUGGGCUUGAGGGCAGCAGAGGGUGGUGGAAUUCCUGGUGUAGCGGUGAAAUGCGCAGAUAUCAGGAGGAACACCGACGGCGAAGGCAGCUUACUGGGCCGAUACUGACGCUGAGGAGCGAAAGCGUGGGGAGCGAACAGG
This 253-nucleotide ribosomal RNA is filed under the name uncultured bacterium. RNAcentral's name for it is "partial 16S ribosomal RNA". It matches the Rfam family "Bacterial small subunit ribosomal RNA", at positions 524 to 776 of the family's 1533-position model. The record is from RNAcentral.